GACGAACGCUGGCGGCGUGCUUAACACAUGCAAGUCGAACGGAAAGGCCCUGCUUUUGUGGGGUGCUCGAGUGGCGAAAGGGUGAGUAACACGUGAGUAACCUGCCCUUGACUUUGGGAUAACUUCAGGAAACUGGGGCUAAUACCGGAUAGGAGCUCCUGCUGCGUGGUGGGGGUUGGAAAGUUUCGGCGGUUGGGGAUGGACUCGCGGCUUAUCAGCUUGUUGGUGGGGUAGUGGCUUACCAAGGCUUUGACGGGUAGCCGGCCUGAGAGGGUGACCGGCCACAUUGGGACUGAGAUACCGCCCAGACUCCUACGGGAGGCAGCAGUGGGGAAUAUUGCACAAUGGGCGGAAGCCUGAUGCAGCAACGCCGCGUGCGGGAUGACGGCCUUCGGGUUGUAAACCGCUUUCGCCUGUGACGAAGCGUGAGUGACGGUAAUGGGUAAAGAAGCACCGGCUAACUACGUG
This 468-nucleotide ribosomal RNA is filed under the name uncultured bacterium. RNAcentral describes it as "partial 16S ribosomal RNA". It matches the Rfam family "Bacterial small subunit ribosomal RNA", at positions 28 to 507 of the family's 1533-position model. The record is from RNAcentral.